GUCGAAGAGAGGUUCAAAUUUCUGGUUAUGGGGAAGACUAAAGGAGGUUGGGGAGGCAACCUUCGGGUUCAUGUCUUUUGUCCGGCGACUAAGGAGAAGAGGGAUGUUAUCAUUCUCAUUGCAGAGAGAUGGAAGCUCUCAGUCCAAGCAGCGGGAUGGGAGCCGAAGCGGUUUCUAGUAGUUCAUGUCACACCCAAGUCCAAGACCCCGGCUCGGAUCCUUGGACCCAAGUCUGG
This 236-nucleotide unclassified non-coding RNA is filed under the name Hevea brasiliensis (rubber tree). Lineage: Eukaryota; Viridiplantae; Streptophyta; Magnoliopsida; Malpighiales; Euphorbiaceae. The record is from RNAcentral.